GCCUGGCACCAUGCCUCAUGCCUGUAGUCCUAGCUACUCAUGAGGCAGAAGCAGGAGGAUCACUGGAGCUCAGGAGUUCUGGGCUGUAGAGUGCUAGGCUGUUUGGUGUCUGCCCUAAAUUGGACAUUAAUAUGGUGACCUCCUGGGAGCAAGGGACCACCAGAUGGCCUAAAAAGGGUUGAACUGCCCAAGAUCAGAAAUGGAGUGGGUCAAACUUCCCAUGCUGACCUGUAGUGGUAUCAUGCCUGUGAAAAAUAGCCAUUGAACUCCAGCCUGGGCAACAGAGUAAGAUCCUAUCUCU
This 301-nucleotide signal recognition particle RNA is filed under the name Carlito syrichta (Philippine tarsier). Its description in RNAcentral is "Metazoan signal recognition particle RNA (ENSTSYG00000029932.1)". It matches the Rfam family "Metazoan signal recognition particle RNA". From Rfam's summary of the family: The signal recognition particle (SRP) is a universally conserved ribonucleoprotein. It is involved in the co-translational targeting of proteins to membranes. The record is from RNAcentral. Lineage: Eukaryota; Metazoa; Chordata; Mammalia; Primates; Tarsiidae.